This 1121-nucleotide long non-coding RNA is filed under the name Mytilus galloprovincialis (Mediterranean mussel). The record is from RNAcentral. Lineage: Eukaryota; Metazoa; Mollusca; Bivalvia; Mytilida; Mytilidae.
CGAGGAAAAAGGGGGGGGGUCUCUGUUCUGUAAUUCUUUUAGCCAUUCUUAUCUUUUCAGCAUUAAAAAAUAUGCUAAUACUUUAGGUUAUGUGCCCCUUUAGAAUUUGCACUACACAAAUGAAACCAUUUAUCAACUUUGUUAAAUGUCUGAUUGAAACGAAACACAGAAAAAUAGAAAUAUUUUAACUUAGCUUAUUUGUAAUAAUUUGGAUAUAUGGGAUAACAAUUUAAGCAGUAGAUAAGAUGAAAUUAGUUAUUAUAUUUGAUCUUAUCUAGUUUGUGGUAUAUGAGGAAAUAGUACCGACAAGCUAGCGCUGAGCAUAAAGUUUUAUAACAUAUAUACAGCAGCAUUAGUUAUCUGACAUUAAGAGUAAUCUGAAAUCUUGACAGAGUAAAAUUUUUUUUCACCAGAACAGGUUAGAUUUUAUUAUUGAUAGCCCAAUAUAGAAAAAAUGCUUAUAUAGUGAAAGAAAGAUAGGUUUUCCCCAACCCCAAAAAAAUCAAAAACAAUGUCAUCCGUCUUCGAGCAUUCGUCUUCCAGAUCUAUAAAAUAUAUUGUUUUUUUUUUUUUUUUUUUUUUUUUUUUAAAUUGGAAUGAAUUAUGGAUCUCUCAAAUAUGAAACUGAAGACGUAGGAAUCAUUCCGGCGAAAGAGACGUCCCUUAAAAUUAUCCAUAAAUUUUGAAAAUAUAAAGAAACUAAGGUUUCAACUCCAUUAGACAAAGUUGAUCUUCGUCUGCAUGAUUUGGCUAUUUAUAAGGUUCUGUUUGGUCUGAUAGCUCUUCAACUGUUUCUGUUCUUUGUGUGCAUGCUUCGUUCCAAAAAUCGAGAAUUAUAGCUCUUUGAUUGUAUGACUAGUUGUUGUAUUUUUUUCAGCUGUACAUAGCUUUUUGUUGUCAAUGGUUAUUUUUGUCGGAACUCUUUCACGAAAUUUCAUUGUUGUAAUAAUUAUUGACACAAUGUAGGAGAAGGAUGUUAGGUAAACUAAGUCUGCAAUGGUGGACGAAAAUACCGAUGCUUAUUAAUGAACAUAAUUUGCAUGGCUAAAAUCAUUGAACCAGUUCUGAUAACAUUUCAUUCCAAAUGAUAUACGUAUAUCAAUAUUUAAUUUGGUAUGCAG